RNAcentral lists this transfer RNA (75 nucleotides) under Bacillota bacterium. RNAcentral describes it as "Firmicutes bacterium (gut metagenome) tRNA-Glu". It matches the Rfam family "tRNA". From Rfam's summary of the family: Transfer RNA (tRNA) molecules are approximately 80 nucleotides in length. Their secondary structure includes four short double-helical elements and three loops (D, anti-codon, and T loops). Further hydrogen bonds mediate the characteristic L-shaped molecular structure. tRNAs have two regions of fundamental functional importance: the anti-codon, which is responsible for specific mRNA codon recognition, and the 3' end, to which the tRNAs corresponding amino acid is attached (by aminoacyl-tRNA synthetases). tRNAs cope with the degeneracy of the genetic code in two manners: having more than one tRNA (with a specific anti-codon) for a particular amino acid; and 'wobble' base-pairing, i.e. permitting non-standard base-pairing at the 3rd anti-codon position. RNAcentral also lists the same sequence under 1 other name. The record is from RNAcentral. Lineage: Bacteria; Bacillati; Bacillota.
GGUCCCAUGGUCAAGCGGUUAAGACACGGCCCUUUCACGGCCGUAACCGGGGUUCGAUUCCCCGUGGGGCUACCA